RNAcentral lists this transfer RNA (72 nucleotides) under Bos taurus (domestic cattle). It matches the Rfam family "tRNA". Rfam says of the family: Transfer RNA (tRNA) molecules are approximately 80 nucleotides in length. Their secondary structure includes four short double-helical elements and three loops (D, anti-codon, and T loops). Further hydrogen bonds mediate the characteristic L-shaped molecular structure. tRNAs have two regions of fundamental functional importance: the anti-codon, which is responsible for specific mRNA codon recognition, and the 3' end, to which the tRNAs corresponding amino acid is attached (by aminoacyl-tRNA synthetases). tRNAs cope with the degeneracy of the genetic code in two manners: having more than one tRNA (with a specific anti-codon) for a particular amino acid; and 'wobble' base-pairing, i.e. permitting non-standard base-pairing at the 3rd anti-codon position. Lineage: Eukaryota; Metazoa; Chordata; Mammalia; Artiodactyla; Bovidae. The record is from Rfam by way of RNAcentral. RNAcentral also lists the same sequence under 1 other name.
UCCCGGGUGGUCCAGUGGCUAGGACUCUGUGCUCCCGAUGCAGGGGCCUGGGUUCGAUCCCUAGUCAGGGAG